RNAcentral lists this ribosomal RNA (253 nucleotides) under uncultured bacterium. RNAcentral's name for it is "partial 16S ribosomal RNA". It matches the Rfam family "Bacterial small subunit ribosomal RNA", at positions 524 to 776 of the family's 1533-position model. The record is from RNAcentral.
UACGGGGGGGGCAAGCGUUGUUCGGAAUUACUGGGCGUAAAGGGCUCGUAGGCGGCCAACUAAGUCAGACGUGAAAUCCCUCGGCUUAACCGGGGAACUGCGUCCGAUACUGGAUGGCUUGGAUUUGGGAGAGGGAUGCGGAAUUCCAGGUGUAGCGGUGAAAUGCGUAGAUAUCUGGAGGAACACCGGUGGCGAAGGCGGCAUCCUGGACCAAUACUGACGCUGAGGCGCGACAGCGUGGGGAGCAAACAGG